AGAGUUUGAUCAUGGCUCAGGAUGAACGCUAGCUACAGGCUUAACACAUGCAAGUCGAGGGGCAGCAUGUUGGUUGCUUGCAACCAACGAUGGCGACCGGCGCACGGGUGAGUAACGCGUAUCCAACCUACCCUUGUCCAUCGGAUAACCCGUCGAAAGGCGGCCUAACACGAUAUGCGGUUCACGGCAGGCAUCUAAGGUGAACGAAAUGUGAAGGAGAAGGAUGGGGAUGCGUCUGAUUAGCUUGGUUGGCGGGGUAACGGCCACCAAGGCUACGAUCAGUAGGGGUUCUGAGAGGAAGGUCCCCCANAUUGGAACUGAGACACGGUCCAAAACUCCUACGGGAGGCA
Molecule: ribosomal RNA, 350 nt
Filed under: uncultured bacterium
Lineage: Bacteria
Description: bacterial SSU rRNA
Rfam family: Bacterial small subunit ribosomal RNA
Source: RNAcentral